Molecule: ribosomal RNA, 253 nt
Filed under: uncultured bacterium
Lineage: Bacteria
Description: partial 16S ribosomal RNA
Rfam family: Bacterial small subunit ribosomal RNA
Source: RNAcentral
UACGGGGGGGGCAAGCGUUGUUCGGAAUUACUGGGCGUAAAGCGUGCGCAGGCGGUUUUGUAAGCCAGAUGUGAAAUCCCCGGGCUUAACCUGGGAAUGGCAUUUGGGACUGCAAGGCUCGAGUGCGGCAGAGGAGACUGGAAUUCCGCGUGUAGCAGUGAAAUGCGUAGAUAUGCGGAGGAACACCGAUGGCGAAGGCAAUCCCCUGGGCCUGCACUGACGCUCAUGCACGAAAGCGUGGGGAGCAAACAGG